GACGAACGCUGGCGGCGUGCUUAACACAUGCAAGUCGAACGAAGUGGCGAACGGGUGAGUAACGCGUAAUCAACCUGCUCUUCAGAGGGGGACAACAGUUGGAAACGACUGCAAAUACCGCAUACUGAAGGAGGGGAUUGAGUCUGAUUAGCUAGCUGGAUGGGUAACGGCCCACCAAGGCGAUGAUCAGUAGCCGGUCUGGGAGGGUGAACGGCCACAAUGGGACUGGGACACGGGCCAGACUCCUACGGGAGGCCGCAGUGGGGAAUCUUCCGCAAUGGACGAAAGUCUGACGGAGCAACGCCGCGUGAGUGAUGACGGCCUUCGGGUUGUAAAGCUCUGUUAAUCGGGACGCGGUACCGGAAUAGAAAGCCACGGCUAACUACGUGCCAGCAGCCGCGGUAAUAC
RNAcentral lists this ribosomal RNA (408 nucleotides) under uncultured bacterium. RNAcentral describes it as "partial 16S ribosomal RNA". It matches the Rfam family "Bacterial small subunit ribosomal RNA", at positions 28 to 526 of the family's 1533-position model. The record is from RNAcentral.